AUGAGCUAUUUUCAUAUUUUGGAUAUUAACCCCUUGUCAGCUGCAUCAUUUGCAAAUAAUUUCUCCCAUUCCAUAGGUUGUUUGCUCAUUUUGUUUAUGGUUUCCUGUACUGUGCUAAUAAAGCUUUUCCAUUUGACUAGGUCCCAUUUGCUUAUUUCUCCUUUUAUUUCUUUUGCCUAGAGUAACUGAUCUAAGAAAAUAUUGCUAUAAUUUAUGUCCAGGAAUGUUUUGAUUUUCUUCUCUUCUAGGAGUUUGUAAUAUCAGGACUUGUAUUUAGGACUUUAAACCAACUGGAGUUUACUUUUGGAUAGGAUGUGAAGGAGUAUUCUAAUUUCAUUGAUUUAUGUGUAGCUGUCCAGCUUUCCCAGUGGCACUUGUUGAAGAGACUGUCUUUUCUCUAUCGUAUAUUCUUGCCUCCUGUAUCAUAGAUUAGUUGAUAUAGGUGUUUGGGUUUAUUUCUGGGAUCUCUAUUCUAUUCCACUGAUUUCUAUGUCUAAUUUUGUACCAAUACCACAUUGUUUUGAUUACUGUAUCUAUGUUGUACAGUCUUAGGUCUGUUGUGAGUCUUAGGCAUCAAGCUUUGUUCUUUUUUCUCAGAAUCACGUUGGGUCUUUGUGAUUCCAUAUAAAUUUUAAGGGUUAUUUGUUUUAGUUCUGUGAAAGAUAGAAUGGGUAUUUUGAUAAUGAAUGCAUUAACUCUGUGGAUUGUUUUAGAUAGUAUGACCAUUUUAACAAAAUUAAUUCUUCCUAUCCAAGAGUGUAGGAUAGCUUUCCAUUUCUUUGAAUCCUCUUUAGCAUGUUUUAUAGUUUUCAGCUUAUAGAUCUUAAGAAUUCUUGGUUAAGUGUAUUUAUUCCUAGGAUUUUUUUGAACAUUGUUUUAUUUUAUUGAAGUAUAGUUGAUUUACAAUGUUAUGUUAAUUUCUGCUGUACGGCAAGAUGAUUCAGUUAUACAUACAUGUGUGUAUGUGUAUAUAUAUAUAUAUGAAAUACUCCUUUUAAAAAUAUUCCUUUCAAUUAUCAUUUAUUAUAGGAUAUUAAAUAUAGUUCUCUGUGUUGAUUAUCCCUUUCAUGUAUAUUCGCUUACAACUGCUAGCCCCAAAUCCCUACCCUGGUUCCCUCCCCCUUGGCAACCACAAGAUUGUUCUCUAUAUCUGUGAGUCUGCUUCUGUUUUUUAGAAAGGGUCUUUUGUGUUAUUUAUUUAUUUUUUUUUAGAUUCCACAUGUAAGUAAUAGAUUUAAGUCUUUAUGACUUAAAUCACUUAGGAUGAUAAUACCUAGGUCCGCCUAUGUUGCUGAAAAUGGCAUUAUUUCUUUCUUUUUGGCUUAGUGGUAUUCCAUUGUGUAUAACUACCACAUCUUUUUUAUCCAUUCAUUUACCAACGUAUGUUUAGGUUGUCUUGGCUAUUGUGAAUAGAGCUGCAAUGAACAUAAGGGUGCAUGUAUCUUUUUGAAUGAAAGGUUUCUCUGGCUAUAUCCCCAGGAGUGGGAUUGCUGGAUCAUAUGGUAACUUUAUCCUUAGUUUUCUGAGGAAUCUCUGUGCUGCUGUCCAUGAUGGUUGCGCCAGUUUACAUUCCCACCAACAGUGUAAAAGUAUUCCCUUUUCUUCACAACCUUAAGAGAAUAGACCUUAAUUUUUCUCACCAAAGGAGCUGGGGAAAACAGAGAACCAUGUGAGAUGAUGUAUAUGUUAGUUAUCUUGACUGUGAUAAUUAUUUCACUAUGUAUACAUAUUAAAACAUCCUUCAAUAUAUACAAUUUUCUCAAUUAUACUUCAGUAGAACUCAGAAAAGUAAAAAUAGUAGUUCCCAUUGUGGCUCCGUGGUUAAGGACCUGACAUUGUCUCUAUGAGCAUGCAGGUUUGAUCCCUGGCCUUGAUCAGUGGAUUAAGGAUCUGGUGUUGCCACAAGCUGCAGUGUAAGUCAUAGAUGAGCCUUGGAUAUGGUGUUGUCAUGGCUGUAGCAUAGGCCACAGCUGCAGCUCUGAUUUGACCCCUGGCCUGGGAACUUCCACAUAUCACAGGCACAGCUGUAAAAAGAAAAAAACAAACAAAUAAAGUUAUUUCCUCAUGAAUCUUUAAUUGGACAACAUUAUGUCUGGUAUAUUUGCCUCUGUCCUCUAUGGUAUGAGUUGGCCCAAAUGAGGCUGAUAGAUGCUGUUCUAAGUGGCUUACUCACAUGGUAAACAAAUCUUUUAUUGCUGUCACAUGGUAGCUCAGCCAGGGCUGUUGCCUAGAAGCCUAGAUUCUUGCUCACAUGAACCUGUCUGCGGUGCUGCUUUGGCUGUCUCAGAGCAUGGAGACUGAGUUCUAAGAAGGAGAAAGCAGUCUUAGAUGCACUAGUCUUCCUAAAGACGCAGCCUCAACUCAGGUGCAACAUCAUUUCUGCUUAUAUUUUAACUGUCAAAGCAGUCCCAAGCCAGCUAAAGCUCAAGUGGGUGAGGACAUAGACUGCAUUUGAUAAGAGAGUGGCUUGCAUGUGUAGGAAAGGAAUAAAUUGAUACUAGCCAUCUUUGCAUACAAGCCCCCACAUUGUAAUUAAGAGGACAACAGAUUCGAAAGUAGGAAUGAGUGACAUUAGACAUUUUAUUUCUAGUCAGCAUAGUCCACUGUAUUCAUUUCAGGAGAUUUUAUUUUAUUUUAUUUUGUCUUUUUGCCAUUGGGCCGCUCCCGUGGCAUAUGGAGGUUCCCAGGCUAGGGGUCGAAUUGGAGCGAUAGCUGCCAGCCUACUCCAGAGCCACAGCAACGCAGGAUCCGAGCCGCAUCUGCAACCUACACCACAGCUCACGGCAACGCCGGAUCGUUAACCCACUGAGCAAGGCCAGGGAUCGAACCCGCAACCUCAUGGUUCCUAGUCGGAUUCGUUAACCACUGUGCCAUGAUGGGAACUCCCUCAUUUCAGGAGAUUUUAGAAACUCCUUUUCAAUUGUUGACCUAAUCGGUUUUUCCUUUGUAAAUGUUGGUUACUAACGUUUAUUUGAAAUAUAGAGAAGACUGAUGUCAAUCACAAAAGUCUAUCAGACACAGAGGGGGUACUUGAAACCACAGCAUAGCUCUUGAUUAUACUUUCUGAUUUGAUAGUGCUAAGCAAUACCUUAAAAUCUGACUAGCUUUCUGGAUUGUUAUAUUUUUCAAUAGGACUUUAACUAAUAUUAGGUGCUUUUUUUGGGCUAGAGAUUGAAAAAGACUAUUUUGAAAUCACGAUAUAAAAUAAUGACACAGGAAACACAAAAUAGCUGAGUUUGCUCGAUUUUAACUCAGGAUACAAGAAUAAAUGCCUGCAUCCACAAAAGUAAUGUUUUUGCCUAAUUCCUUUAGAGAAUUGCAUCUGAGAGGAUGGUUUCUCUCUAGGCAAGACUAAAAUAACCAUUUUGUGGUGAGGCUACUGCUCUCAGUGUCAACUUGGGUAUUUCAAGCUCAAUGUAAUAUGGUUAGUAGUCUUGAGAGCAUCAUAUCAGAGUUUUUCAACCUUGGCAGUAUUGACAUUUUAGGCUGGAUUAUUUUUGCUAUAGGAGUUUGUUCAGUGCAUUGUAGGAUGAUUAGCAGCAUGUCUGGCCUCUAUCCACUAGAUGCCAAUAGUUUCUCACCAGUCGUGAAACCUAAAAUGCCUCGACAUCGCCAAAUGUUCCCUGGGGUAAAAUUGCCUCCUUUUAAGAACCACUGGGUUUAAUAAAUUUAUAAUUAGAAAAAAUACAUUUCCCUGAGGCAACUUGCCUUAUCUCAGUAGUGUUGUUCUGUCAUCCCUUUCAUAAUUGGAGGUAUCUUCAUGACCUAGAUUUGUCUUCCAUUU
RNAcentral lists this long non-coding RNA (3784 nucleotides) under Sus scrofa (pig). Its description in RNAcentral is "lncRNA (ENSSSCG00015023484.1)". The record is from RNAcentral. Lineage: Eukaryota; Metazoa; Chordata; Mammalia; Artiodactyla; Suidae.